RNAcentral lists this transfer RNA (76 nucleotides) under Dyella japonica. RNAcentral describes it as "tRNA-Thr". It matches the Rfam family "tRNA". Rfam says of the family: Transfer RNA (tRNA) molecules are approximately 80 nucleotides in length. Their secondary structure includes four short double-helical elements and three loops (D, anti-codon, and T loops). Further hydrogen bonds mediate the characteristic L-shaped molecular structure. tRNAs have two regions of fundamental functional importance: the anti-codon, which is responsible for specific mRNA codon recognition, and the 3' end, to which the tRNAs corresponding amino acid is attached (by aminoacyl-tRNA synthetases). tRNAs cope with the degeneracy of the genetic code in two manners: having more than one tRNA (with a specific anti-codon) for a particular amino acid; and 'wobble' base-pairing, i.e. permitting non-standard base-pairing at the 3rd anti-codon position. The record is from RNAcentral. RNAcentral also lists the same sequence under 33 other names. Lineage: Bacteria; Pseudomonadati; Pseudomonadota; Gammaproteobacteria; Lysobacterales; Rhodanobacteraceae.
GCCGGCAUAGCUCAGUUGGUAGAGCAACUGAUUUGUAAUCAGUAGGUCGCGGGUUCGACUCCUGCUGCCGGCACCA